RNAcentral lists this long non-coding RNA (1215 nucleotides) under Sus scrofa (pig). RNAcentral describes it as "lncRNA (ENSSSCG00055004184.1, ENSSSCG00180034102.1)". Lineage: Eukaryota; Metazoa; Chordata; Mammalia; Artiodactyla; Suidae. The record is from RNAcentral.
UCAAAAAAUAUGGCCUUUUAUUGUCUUGGAUGCAAAUAUAGUUUUCAAACUGCAUUGUAGUGUUGAAUACAGCUGGUGGAAAGGUGCUUCUCAACAGCGGAGCAUAAACGGCCUUGCUCUGGAUGGCGCAGGCCUGAGGCUUGGGGCCUCCGGUGAGCAAGACUCUUCUUGGGUUUUGUUUUUCUGCCCACGAGGGGUGACUGUUUGCUACAGAAGCCCUGACACAGUCACCGGAGCUCACAAGAGAAAAAAAUGAACCAUUUACACAAUGAACUGAAAGCAGAAAAAGGAAAAGAACGUGCUGUUUCAGCUGUGGCGUUACAGAAGAAGCCCACAAACACGAGUGUGAACAGAUUCAGAUAAAGCAGCAGCAAGGGCGCCGAGGGAGGGGCCUCGUGCCAGUUCCCUCGGGGACACACAGCCUCGGCUCCAUGUCUCCUACCUUUUAACUGCAGGAAGGAAACUUUAUGGAAAUGUAUCGAACUUCAGUUUCUCCCAACCCUCUCCACCACCUCAACUCUUGAGGAUGGCACCUCUCUGUUCACAUACCCAGGAGAGAAUUCUUCCAAUUAGCGACACCCAGGGUUGACUCUGGAACCAAAAGGUUGACUGGGAGAUAAAAGCGAAUUUUGCUACAUAAUUGUCAAGGUAUUUCACAAAAAUAAAAUCCAUUAAAAACACCCACAAACACGCACACACACACACACACACAGAGCCAACAUUCAACAGGAAAAGUUCCCUUUUCUUUCUCAAAGGCUGAUUUUUACAAGCCUCGACAGGAACGGCCCCCACGUGGUGAGCUGGGAAAGCCAAGGCCUCAGAAGGGAAAGACAAUGGGGCAGGUGAUGGAGGGGAUGUGGUGAAAAUCUUUAAUAUACAAGGCAUCAGGGACAUCGAGCCAAAAACCAUGGCCCACCACUGCUGCGCACCCACCUCAGGGCUCGCCAGCUCCCUUCCUCGUUGUCAAGGCCACUGCAGAGGAAGCACUUUGCAAAGUGGCUCCGACAAGCAGCAGACCGGGCGGGUUUCACCUGCAGCAAAUCAAUCAGCGGAAGCAAGGCAUCUCUAGGGAAAGGCAAUUCCUCCACCAGAGAGAGGAGAGCAGCUAUACUCAGCUUAGUUAGGGGCCUGGGGCCGUGAGAGAGACAAAAGACGCAGGCAGAGCUAGAUGACCAUGGGAGGGGAAGAGCAUAGGGGUGCUGUGCCAAGGCUGCC